GAGUUUGAUCGUGGCUCAGAUUGAACGCUGGCGGCAUGCCUUACACAUGCAAGUCGGACGGCAGCAUGAUCUAGCUUGCUAGAUUGAUGGCGAGUGGCGAAUGGGUGAGUAAUACAUCGGAACGUGCCCUGUAGUGGGGGAUAACUAGUCGAAAGAUUAGCUAAUACCGCAUACGACCUGAGGGUGAAAGUGGGGGACCGCAAGGCCUCAUGCUAUAGGAGCGGCCGAUGUCUGAUUAGCUAGUUGGUGGGGUAAAGGCCCACCAAGGCGACGAUCAGUAGCUGGUCUGAGAGGACGAUCAGCCACACUGGGACUGAGACACGGCCCAGACUCCUACGGGAGGCAGCAGUGGGGAAUUUUGGACAAUGGGCGAAAGCCUGAUCCAGCAAUGCCGCGUGUGUG
This 402-nucleotide ribosomal RNA is filed under the name uncultured microorganism. RNAcentral describes it as "bacterial SSU rRNA". It matches the Rfam family "Bacterial small subunit ribosomal RNA", at positions 9 to 407 of the family's 1533-position model. The record is from RNAcentral.